GAUGAACGCUGGCGGCGUGCUUAACACAUGCAAGUCGAACGAAGCAUUUGCGACAGAUUUUUUCGGAAUGAAGUUGCUUAUGACUGAGUGGCGGACGGGUGAGUAACGCGUGGGUAACCUGCCUUGUACUGGGGGAUAGCAGCUGGAAACGGCUGUUAAUACCGCAUAAGCGCACAAUGUUGCAUGACAUGGUGUGAAAAACUCCGGUGGUAUAGGAUGGACCCGCGUCUGAUUAGCUAGUUGGUGAGAUAACAGCCCACCAAGGCGACGAUCAGUAGCCGACCUGAGAGGGUGACCGGCCACAUUGGGACUGAGACACGGCCCAGACUCCUACGGGAGGCAGCAGUGGGGAAUAUUGCACAAUGGAGGAAACUCUGAUGCAGCGACGCCGCGUGAGUGAAGAAGUAAUUCGUGAUGUAAAGCUCUAUCAGCAGGGAAGAUAGUGACGGUACCUGAAGAAGAAGCCCCGGCUAAAUACGUG
Molecule: ribosomal RNA, 481 nt
Filed under: uncultured bacterium
Lineage: Bacteria
Description: partial 16S ribosomal RNA
Rfam family: Bacterial small subunit ribosomal RNA
Source: RNAcentral